GAGAAUGAACAAACACGGUGAUAGGAGACCUGAAGAUUGGGUAAUUUCGUUUUUGCUAAAGUCAAAAGGCUUCCAUGCUUGGCCUGCUAAGGUUUUUGUGACAGAACAACCUUGAACAACAACACAGUCAAUGCCACAAUUGAUUGGAUAGGAAACUGUAAUAUCAACAAUGAAACGCUUCUAUAUGUGCCUUGUGGUGUGUAUUUGACUCAGAGCUUCAAUCAUUGAUAUUGAGUUUGGUGAUCUCGUUCUUGCUAAAGUCAAAGGCGUGCUAAUGUAUC
Camelina sativa (false flax) is the source of this 281-nucleotide non-coding RNA. NCBI's taxonomy places the organism in Eukaryota, Viridiplantae, Streptophyta, Magnoliopsida, Brassicales, Brassicaceae. The record is from RefSeq and is a predicted model, not a curated record.